Long non-coding RNA from Cyprinus carpio (common carp), 359 nucleotides. RefSeq lists it as uncharacterized. Lineage: Eukaryota; Metazoa; Chordata; Actinopteri; Cypriniformes; Cyprinidae. The record is from RefSeq and is a predicted model, not a curated record. The transcript has 3 exons.
GAUUUCUAUGUGAUCAUCAUUAUUAGUGUGAGUGUGAUUCUGCUGCUGAUCAGUGGAUUCACUCUGACUGUGUGCAAAUUAAGACACAAGAGAAAAGGAAGAAUCUCAACAUCAGACAAGAGAAAGAGGAAGAAAAAUGCAAUAUCAUCAUGUGCAGACAGCAGACGUGAUUCUCUCUCAGAUCCUGGAUCAGCUCAAAUGAAGAAUCAUGAUGAUUUACCCACAAUCCCCUCUGAUGAGCUCCUGUACGCUGCUGUCAGUUUCCAGAAGCAUGAAGAAUCUCUCAGUGACGCUACAGUCAGAUUCAGUAAGAAUGAGAUUCACUCUGAUUAUGCCACGAUCAAAUUCACCACAUGACA